This 967-nucleotide ribosomal RNA is filed under the name Diphyllobothrium cordatum. Its description in RNAcentral is "16S ribosomal RNA". The stretch from base 644 to 926 matches the Rfam family "Bacterial large subunit ribosomal RNA", at positions 2073 to 2647 of the family's 2925-position model. Lineage: Eukaryota; Metazoa; Platyhelminthes; Cestoda; Diphyllobothriidea; Diphyllobothriidae. The record is from RNAcentral.
AUUUUAUUGAAUGUAAUAUUCAGUUUUUUUGGUUUGUGUGCCUUUUGCAUCAUGCUAUUUGGAUUGUUUAUAACUUAGGUUAUAGACCGAAAAGUUUAGAUUUAAUUUUAAGUAAGCUAGUAUUGAAAGUACGAGUAGUAUAUUUAAACUUAGAAUUGGUUGUGAUAAAUAAGUCGUUAAACUUUAUAUCUGUUUGGGAAAGAGUUUGUUUUUAAAUUUAUUUGGUGAUGAGAUCAAGUAAAUAAAUAUAGUUAUAUUAAGGUGUAAAUAAUAAUAGGGUUAAAAUUACCUUUAUUUUGAGUGUAUGUUACAAUUGCUUUAUUUAUUCUUUAUUUAUAACUUAUUAUCAAAAUUUCCUUAAAUUUAAUUAAGUGAAGUUAAUUAUCAUAUAAUAAGUAAUUUUAUUAGUCUCUUUGUUUUUCAUUUACAUCCCGUCUGUUUAUUAAAAACAUUUCCAUAUUAUUAAUUUUAUAUGGUAGGACCUGCUCUAUGUGUUAUAAAUGGCCGCAGUAUCUUGACUGUGCGAAGGUAGCAUAAUUAAUUGCCCUUUAAAUGGGGGCUUGUUUGAAUGGUUUGACGAGGUUGUUUUUAACAUGGGGAUUUUUAUUGAAAUUGAUGAUGUGAAUACAGAAUUUACAUUAUUUAAUUAGACGGAAAGACCCUAGGAUCUUUAUGUAAUUUGCUUGGGGCAAGUAAAAAUAGUUUAUUUGUUUUUUGACCCUCUGAGAGUUUAUAGGUUUAAGUUACCCUAGGGAUAACAGAGUGAUAGUUUAUUAGAGUUCUUAUCGAUUAAACUGUUUGCUACCUCGAUGUUGACUUGGGUUAAUGUUCUGGCGCAGUAGUUAGAAGUUUUGGUCUGUUCGACCACGAGUACCCCCAUGAGUUGAGUUAAGACCGGCGUGAGCCAGGUCGGUUCUUAUCUAUUAUUCUAAUUUGUUAGUACGAAAGGAUUGCAAAUUAUUUUAGU